AUGAGUGGCAGAGAGGCAAGAACAGCCACAUCUGACAGAGUGACUACUUGCAGAGACAAGACAAUGGUCCAGCUGAACCACCACCCUGGCCCAAUACAGCCCUCAUUAAGAUUUCAUGGCCUUUUUUUUGUCACUUCCUUUUGUUUAGAGACUAAAUUGAGACCCGUUUUGAAAAGCACCGCACCAUUGGCAAGACCGGGUGCGCUCUCACCAAUAAGGGCAAGUCAUUAUUUUUUCACUUCUCUGUGUAAUCGACUGGCGGCAGUGGAGGGGAAGCUGCGUCGCAAUAUGUGCAACACAAAGCCUCUCUCCGGCGGGCGAGGACGUCGCCUUUUGCCUUAUUCAUGAGCAAAGGAUGCCCAUGGCGUGACCUGACAUGUCAAUCAAACCUCAGAUUGGGAUUUCAGGAGCUAUCAUAGCAAGGUUAAAUGGCAUGGUAUACAAAAAUAUUCCACUAAUGAAACGACAAGUCAGACAGGGUUGCUACAAGCAAAUAGUUUGCAGCCAAAGGGGGAAAAAGAAAAGAAAGCAAAGCAAACUACCACAACCAUUUCUUCAAAGCCAUGUAGUAUUAUUAUAGUUUUUUAAAAAAAACUCUUAAUUUCUUUCCUUCCUUCCUUGACUGCUUGUCAGAACAUUUGGUGAAAAUCCGAUGAUGAAUUUAUAUUUUUAUGCCACCGUUCAUUUGAAUGCUCUUCCCCCCCUCUCAUGAUUGCCUGCAAGAUCAAUUCUGCAUGUUCUCAGAAAACUGUGUUGUGAAUACAACGGCAGCGUGAUUAUGGAGAAGAGGGACAGGCCUAGAGAAUGUAGUCGAUUUCAUGCUCUCUUCUCUUUUAAUUCCCAUUGAAGCCAUCUGCUCAGAUUAGCAGCGGCAAUGAUAAGGGCAGCCAGGACACCUGGCGGACUGGGGAGGGUUCUCUGGAGAACACCUGUCUCUUCCAGUAUCCCCUUUUGCCAUUAUCCCCUUUCAGGGCAGGACAGCCAGAAGACACAGGCUAUCCUUGUUUGACACUACGCAGCACCUGACAUUCUAGAUCUGUUACAAUGUGAUAGAAAUACCAUCUGGUUGUAAAUCCAAUGCAGUUACUGGGACACACUUCAAGAACCAAGAUUAUUGGGCAGGGCUUCACAAACAUUACAAAAUAAAGAAGUUUCAGAUCCGUGUACUCUGUAUAGA
RNAcentral lists this long non-coding RNA (1177 nucleotides) under Pogona vitticeps (central bearded dragon). Its description in RNAcentral is "lncRNA (ENSPVIG00000008308.1)". The record is from RNAcentral. Lineage: Eukaryota; Metazoa; Chordata; Lepidosauria; Squamata; Agamidae.